RNAcentral lists this long non-coding RNA (857 nucleotides) under Cricetulus griseus (Chinese hamster). RNAcentral's name for it is "lncRNA (ENSCGRG00015040320.1)". The record is from RNAcentral. Lineage: Eukaryota; Metazoa; Chordata; Mammalia; Rodentia; Cricetidae.
UUCCUGUUGACUGGCUUUCUGCAGCGUCUCCGCCUCCCUUCCUCUCCCUAGAAGGGAAUCUACUGUGCAGCAGGCCCGGGAAAUCUGCAGUGGGUGUCCCCCCUGCCACACUACACACUCCGCUUCUUUCUGCUCCUCCCUCCUGGCUGCCAUAGAAACCAGCCUGCCAGGUCCAGGCCCGCGUCGCGCCGCGGUGGCCAUCCAGGCUCCUUCCCCGGCUCCCCAGAGCCAGCCCCCCGCUCGGGAUUGGUCCUGUUCAGGACGCUGAGGGACACUAGGCUCUGGUGGCGGAGCCAGAAGCAGACAGACAGCGGGGUUUGCCACGGCCCUGUGGGUCAGAUCUGCUGCUCAUCACAGCUCACAGAGGCUGUGCGACCCAGAUGUCUGCGCCCCGGGACACCCACGAGCCUGCUCCAGUGCCUGCCACUCGGCGCGCCUAGCCUGGCCGCACAGCGAGCUCCCCAGGCGGCCUCCCGACUGAGGAUUGAAGAAUCUUCAUUCAUUGUCGGAUUUCCUAGAAUUUGUUAUAAGUCUCAGAAGAAAAUAUUAAAGUCCCUUAUAACUCUACAGCUGAAAUGAAGGCUAUUAUAGUUCUUAAAUGACUUUGAGUAGCUUCAAGGUUAACUCAGCUGCUGCAAUACAGAAUAUUGACCAGUUGUACAAGGGGGUAAGUUGCAGUCGAAAGACAAGUGAUUUCAGUUAGCCACCUGGAAAAUGAAAACAAAAAUAUAAGUCACUUGGUAGGGCUUACAAAAGUGAUUAUCAGUCAAGAGUUAAAGACAAUUAGGGUGGGAAGGAAGAUGAAGUGGGGUGCUGGAAGGGUUUAGGACAGGGAAGAGAACAGCUGUCAGGGAAGU